UACGAAGGGUGCAACCGUUGCUCGGAAUUAUUGGGCGUAAAGCGCACGUAGGCGGCAUUGCAAGUCGGAUGUGAAAUCUUAUGGCUUAACCAUAAAAGUGCAUCCGAAACUGCAGUGCUUGAGUACUUAAGAGGAUCGCGGAAUUCCCGGUGUAGAGGUGAAAUUCGUAGAUAUUCGCAAGAACACCAGUGGCGAAGGCGGCUCACUGGCCCGGUACUGACGCUGAGACGCGAAAGCGUGGGGAGCGAACAGG
This 253-nucleotide ribosomal RNA is filed under the name uncultured bacterium. RNAcentral's name for it is "partial 16S ribosomal RNA". It matches the Rfam family "Bacterial small subunit ribosomal RNA", at positions 524 to 776 of the family's 1533-position model. The record is from RNAcentral.